This 491-nucleotide ribosomal RNA is filed under the name uncultured bacterium. RNAcentral describes it as "partial 16S ribosomal RNA". It matches the Rfam family "Bacterial small subunit ribosomal RNA", at positions 28 to 507 of the family's 1533-position model. The record is from RNAcentral.
GAUGAACGCUGGCUACAGGCUUAACACAUGCAAGUUGAGGGGAAACGACGGGGAAGCUUGCUUCCCCGGGCGUCGACCGGCGCACGGGUGAGUAACGCGUAUCCAACCUGCCUCUGACUGAGGGAUAACCCGUCGAAAGUCGGCCUAAUACCUCAUGGCAUCGUCUGCGGGCAUCCAACGACGAUUAAAGAUUUCAUCGGUCAGAGAUGGGGAUGCGUCUGAUUAGCUUGUUGGCGGGGUAACGGCCCACCAAGGCGACGAUCAGUAGGGGUUCUGAGAGGAAGGUCCCCCACAUUGGAACUGAGACACGGUCCAAAAUCCUACGGGAGGGAGCAGUGAGGAAUAUUGGUCAAUGGGCGAGAGCCUGAACCAGCCAAGUAGCGUGCAGGAGGACGGCCCUAUGGGUUGUAAACUGCUUUUAUGCGGGGAUAAAGUGAGGGACGUGUCCUUCAUUGCAGGUACCGCAUGAAUAAGGACCGGCUAAUUCCGUG